AACUUUCAACAACGGAUCUCUUGGCUCUCGCAUCGAUGAAGAACGCAGCGAAAUGCGAUACGUAAUGUGAAUUGCAGAAUUCAGUGAAUCAUCGAAUCUUUGAACGCAUAUUGCGCUCUUUGGUAUUCCGAAGAGCAUGCUUGUUUGAGUAUCAGUAAACACCUCAAAGCCUUUUUCUUUUUUUUUUUUUUUUGAAAAGAGAAAGACUUUGGACUUGAGCAAUCCCAACACUUUUUUUUUCUUAAAGAAAGUGGCGGGUUGCUUGAAAUGCAGGUGCAGCUGGACAUUCUCCUGAGCUAAAAGCAUAUUCAUUU
Molecule: ribosomal RNA, 314 nt
Filed under: Linnemannia hyalina
Lineage: Eukaryota; Fungi; Mortierellomycota; Mortierellomycetes; Mortierellales; Mortierellaceae
Description: Mortierella hyalina 5.8S ribosomal RNA
Rfam family: 5.8S ribosomal RNA (bases 1-154)
Source: RNAcentral